UACGGGGGGGCAAGCGUUGUUCGGAAUUACUGGGCGUAAAGGGUUCGUAGGUGGCUUGCUCAGUCAGACGUGAAAUCCCUCAGCUUAACUGGGGAACUGCGUCUGAUACUGGCGAGCUUGAGUGCAGGAGAGGAACGCGGAAUUCCAGGUGUAGCGGUGAAAUGCGUAGAUAUCUGGAGGAACACCGGUGGCGAAGGCGGCGUUCUGGACUGCAACUGACACUGAUGAACGAAAGCCAGGGGAGCAAACGGG
This 252-nucleotide ribosomal RNA is filed under the name uncultured bacterium. RNAcentral describes it as "partial 16S ribosomal RNA". It matches the Rfam family "Bacterial small subunit ribosomal RNA", at positions 524 to 776 of the family's 1533-position model. The record is from RNAcentral.